This is a non-coding RNA of Pelobates cultripes (western spadefoot toad), 411 nucleotides long. Lineage: Eukaryota; Metazoa; Chordata; Amphibia; Anura; Pelobatidae. The record is from the annotation of a GenBank genome assembly.
CACACCCAUCAUCCAGCACUCACAUCCAUCAUCCAGCACUCACACAUCCAUCAUCCAGCACUCACACACCCAUCAUCCAGCACUUACACACACACAUCAUCCAGCACUCACACACACCCAUCAUCCAGCACUCACACACACCCAUCAUCCAGCACUCACACACACCCAUCAUCCAGCACUCACACACACCCAUCAUCCAGCACACACACACACAUCAUCCAGCACUCACACACACAUCAUCCAGCACUCACACACCCAUCAUCCAGCACUCUCACACACAUCAUCCAGCACUCACACACCCAUCAUCCAGCACUCUCACACACAUCAUCCAGCACUCACACACCCAUCAUCCAGCACUCACACACACACAUCAUCCAGCACUCACACACAUCAUCCAGCACUCACACACAC